CGCAAAGUCCGGCCGGCCGGAGGCAGCCGCCAACUCCUCUCAACUUCUGCCGAUCCGCUGGGCGAAGCAACACGCUUCCUGCGCGUCUCUCCUAGGGGCUGAGCCGGGCAUCUUCUCAGAGACAAAAGAUUCUGAGAGACAUCUAAUUCCCUACCAAAAGUGUCUCAGUGUUUGUGCAAUCAAAGGAAAUCAGAAAAGAAAUGAUCCUCACCGCUCUGUGGUCCAAUCCUCUCAUUUUACAAAUAAGGACCCCAAGAUUGGAGAGAGGAGGACAUUUGCCCAUGGUCCAUCAGCAAGCAGAGGACCCAGCUCCCCAGCCUCCUGACUUUCAGUCCGACACUCUGCCCCCACCCAACACUGCUUCUGCUUGUGCAUGCCUUCUGUGACUAACCAGGGAGGAGGGGAGCUGAAACAAGCUCCCACCGAAAUAGGCUGCUGCCUGUGCGUGAUUAUGUUGCUAUGAGAACCUCAGUGGGUGUGUUUCCUCCUUUCGCUGUUGAAAUCUUUUGCUUUGCUUGGCUUCUCCCCAAGCA
This 533-nucleotide long non-coding RNA is filed under the name Homo sapiens (human). RNAcentral describes it as "non-protein coding lnc-CRACR2A-1:3". The record is from RNAcentral. Lineage: Eukaryota; Metazoa; Chordata; Mammalia; Primates; Hominidae.